This is a long non-coding RNA of Macrosteles quadrilineatus (aster leafhopper), 352 nucleotides long. RefSeq lists it as uncharacterized. The record is from RefSeq and is a predicted model, not a curated record. NCBI's taxonomy places the organism in Eukaryota, Metazoa, Arthropoda, Insecta, Hemiptera, Cicadellidae. The transcript has 3 exons.
GGGAGAAACCGUUCUGGAUUGCCUGAUUGCUUGGCGAAGAAGGAGCAAGAAGGAAACAAAAUCAGACUUGGACCCUGAAACUCUUGCCCAGUAUGAUGAUGUUGUCAAAACACUCAGAGUUGCUUUGAAAAAAGCUGGACACAAUCCAGAGUCUGAAAGGAGAUCCCCUUCACCCGUUACCUCCUCUUUCACAAGUCAGCCAUCAACGUCAAGAGGGCAUUUGGAAAACACCAGGGAUUAUCCUUCACAAAGACAAGUGCCAUCAAACAAAAGGAGGAGUUUUGAGGAGGAUGUUCAAUCAUCCAAACAUAGAUUUUCUGAUAAAGAUAGAUCAAGGUCAUCUAGUUCCUCC